AUUGGGCGUAAAGAGGGCGCAGGCGGCCUUUUAAGUCGAGUGUAAAAUUUCCCGGCUUAACCGGGAGGGAUCAUUCGAUACUGUUAGGCUAGAGGACAACAGAGGAAGGUAGAAUUCCCGGUGUAGUGGUGAAAUGCGUAGAUAUCGGGAGGAACACCAGUGGCGAAGGCGGCAUCCUGGGCUCUACCUGACGCUGAGGCGCAAAAGCGUGGGGAGCAAACCGGAUUAGAUACCCGGGUAGUCCACGCCCUAAACUUUGGGUACUAGGUAUGGGGGGUAUCGACCCCUCCCGUGCCGGAGCUAACGCGUUAAGUACCCCGCCUGGGAACUACGGCCGCAAGGCUAAAACUCAAAGGAAUUGACGGGGGCCCGCACAAGCAGUGGAGCGUGUGGUUUAAUUCGAUGCAAAACGAAGAACCUUACCAGGGCUUGAACGGUGGGAAGUAGAAACCUGAAAGGGAGACGACCUGUCAAGUCAGGAGCCUGCCGAGGUGCUGCAUGGCUGUCGUCAGCUCGUGCCGUGAGGUGUUGGGUUAAGUCCCGCAACGAGCGCAACCCGCGUCGCUAGUUGGGUUAUCUAGCGAGACCGCUGCGCACAACGCAGAGGAAGGUGCGGAUGACGUCAAGUCAUCAUGGCCCUUACGUCCUGGGCUACACACACGCUACAAUGGCCGGUACAAAGGGAUGCCAAGGCGCGAGCCGGAGCCAAUCCCAAAAAACCGGCCCCAGUUGGGAUUGCAGGCUGAAACCUGCCUGCAUGAACGCGGAAUUGCUAGUAACCGCAGGUCAGCAUACUGCGGUGAAUACGUUCCCGGGCCUUGUACACACCGCCCGUCACGUCAUGGAAGCCUGUAACAUCUGAAGUCCGUACGCCAACCCGCAAGGGAGGCAGCGGCCGAGGGUGGGACCGGUAACUGGGACGAAGUCGUAACAAGGUAGCUGUAGCGGAAGCUGCGGCUGGAUCACCUCCUUU
This 973-nucleotide ribosomal RNA is filed under the name Dehalococcoidia bacterium. RNAcentral describes it as "bacterial SSU rRNA". It matches the Rfam family "Bacterial small subunit ribosomal RNA", at positions 553 to 1533 of the family's 1533-position model. The record is from RNAcentral. Lineage: Bacteria; Bacillati; Chloroflexota; Dehalococcoidia.